RNAcentral lists this long non-coding RNA (1151 nucleotides) under Heterocephalus glaber (naked mole-rat). RNAcentral describes it as "lncRNA (ENSHGLG00100047220.1)". Lineage: Eukaryota; Metazoa; Chordata; Mammalia; Rodentia; Bathyergidae. The record is from RNAcentral.
GUGAGUUAAACGGAAAUGAACAAAACUUUGGAAACCUCCGUGACGUCCCUCUCUGCUUCCGUUGCUUUGGUCUGCGCGCUAGCUCCCGGCCCUGCUAACCAAGCCCUAGGAUAACAGACUUAUGCAGAGGAGAGGCGCUCGGCCCACCUGUCUGGAAGGAAGUCUCGGUCCAUGACAGGUUGAGGCUGUUGCUGUUAGGCUUCGUCAAGGCGCACAUUAUGGCAGCAGCACAGCCAGAAAGGGAGAAAGAGCUGAUCCUGCAGUCCCCCAGCGGCCUAGACCUGAUGGUUCCACCCCUUGAGGUCUCCACCGCCUCUCAGUGGUGCUCAACUGGUACUACGAUUCCAAAAAUAGAGAAAAAUAAGCACGAUUGUCAGAAUCUGAGUCCAGGGUGAGAGGCACAAGGUCUUCCCUGAGUCAGACACUUAGGGCCAGUGGGACCCAAACUGGUGAUCCUCCUGCCUCAGCCUCCCAGAGUGCUGUGGUUACAGGCAUGCACCACCAUGCUUGACCCACUCAUGUCUUUCUUAAAUCUUUCCUUAUUCUUCUGGUUUCAUGGGAGGCUUGAAAUAUGACAACUGUCGUCAAAGGUCAUUUGGAUUUGAGUCAAGAGACGAACAGGUGAAUUUCUUAAGGCAAGUCCCUCCACGCAGGUCAGACUUCCUUCGGUGCCGUUACCAAUUUCCUAAGAAUCAUGAGUGCUCCAAAGGCCCAACUUGCCUUGUCUGGGAUUCAAUUCUACUGCAAUCAAUGACUUGAGAAAUUUUUCAUUCUGAAGAUGUUGCUGGCUCCUCUAAGGGGAGGUGUUUGAAUCACCUGUUAAUAUUGCAGUGAGGCACCCUUUCACCUUUCAAGUUUAGAUCUGGCCCCCUAAGAUUAAAAAUUAGUCCCAAUCUCCAGAACCUGCAUCUGUGUCACCGUCCAUGGCACCAGGACUUGGCUGUGUGAUUAAGGUUAAGGACUUGAGCCAGGGAUUUAGCUCAGUGGUUCCAGUGCCUACCUUGAAAGCACAAGGUCCUGAGUUUGAUCCCCAGUACCAAAAGAAAAAAAAGAAGGUAAAAGACUUGAGAUGGGAGAUCAUCCUGGAUUAUCUGGCUGGGCCCAGUAUAACCACAGGAAUCCUGAAAAGUGGAGAAUCUUUGCAAGGUAUG